This 2908-nucleotide ribosomal RNA is filed under the name Bacillus cereus F837/76. RNAcentral's name for it is "LSU rRNA". It matches the Rfam family "Bacterial large subunit ribosomal RNA". The record is from RNAcentral. Lineage: Bacteria; Bacillati; Bacillota; Bacilli; Caryophanales; Bacillaceae.
GGGCGCACGGUGGAUGCCUUGACACUAGGAGUCGAUGAAGGACGGGACUAACGCCGAUAUGCUUCGGGGAGCUGUAAGUAAGCUUUGAUCCGAAGAUUUCCGAAUGGGGAAACCCACCAUACGUAAUGGUAUGGUAUCCUUAUCUGAAUACAUAGGGUAAGGAAGACAGACCCAGGGAACUGAAACAUCUAAGUACCUGGAGGAAGAGAAAGCAAAUGCGAUUUCCUGAGUAGCGGCGAGCGAAACGGAACAUAGCCCAAACCAAGAGGCUUGCCUCUUGGGGUUGUAGGACAUUCUAUACGGAGUUACAAAGGAACGAGGUAGACGAAGCGACCUGGAAAGGUCCGUCGUAGAGGGUAACAACCCCGUAGUCGAAACUUCGUUCUCUCUUGAAUGUAUCCUGAGUACGGCGGAACACGUGAAAUUCCGUCGGAAUCUGGGAGGACCAUCUCCCAAGGCUAAAUACUCCCUAGUGAUCGAUAGUGAACCAGUACCGUGAGGGAAAGGUGAAAAGCACCCCGGAAGGGGAGUGAAAGAGAUCCUGAAACCGUGUGCCUACAAAUAGUCAGAGCCCGUUAACGGGUGAUGGCGUGCCUUUUGUAGAAUGAACCGGCGAGUUACGAUCCCGUGCGAGGUUAAGCUGAAGAGGCGGAGCCGCAGCGAAAGCGAGUCUGAAUAGGGCGUUUAGUACGUGGUCGUAGACCCGAAACCAGGUGAUCUACCCAUGUCCAGGGUGAAGUUCAGGUAACACUGAAUGGAGGCCCGAACCCACGCACGUUGAAAAGUGCGGGGAUGAGGUGUGGGUAGCGGAGAAAUUCCAAUCGAACCUGGAGAUAGCUGGUUCUCCCCGAAAUAGCUUUAGGGCUAGCCUUAAGUGUAAGAGUCUUGGAGGUAGAGCACUGAUUGGACUAGGGGUCCUCAUCGGAUUACCGAAUUCAGUCAAACUCCGAAUGCCAAUGACUUAUCCUUAGGAGUCAGACUGCGAGUGAUAAGAUCCGUAGUCAAAAGGGAAACAGCCCAGACCGCCAGCUAAGGUCCCAAAGUGUGUAUUAAGUGGAAAAGGAUGUGGAGUUGCUUAGACAACUAGGAUGUUGGCUUAGAAGCAGCCACCAUUUAAAGAGUGCGUAAUAGCUCACUAGUCGAGUGACUCUGCGCCGAAAAUGUACCGGGGCUAAAUACACCACCGAAGCUGCGGAUUGAUACCAAUGGUAUCAGUGGUAGGGGAGCGUUCUAAGGACAGUGAAGUCAGACCGUAAGGACUGGUGGAGUGCUUAGAAGUGAGAAUGCCGGUAUGAGUAGCGAAAGACGGGUGAGAAUCCCGUCCACCGAAUGCCUAAGGUUUCCUGAGGAAGGCUCGUCCGCUCAGGGUUAGUCAGGACCUAAGCCGAGGCCGACAGGCGUAGGCGAUGGACAACAGGUUGAUAUUCCUGUACCACCUCUUUAUCGUUUGAGCAAUGGAGGGACGCAGAAGGAUAGAAGAAGCGUGCGAUUGGUUGUGCACGUCCAAGCAGUUAGGCUGAUAAGUAGGCAAAUCCGCUUAUCGUGAAGGCUGAGCUGUGAUGGGGAAGCUCCUUAUGGAGCGAAGUCUUUGAUUCCCCGCUGCCAAGAAAAGCUUCUAGCGAGAUAAAAGGUGCCUGUACCGCAAACCGACACAGGUAGGCGAGGAGAGAAUCCUAAGGUGUGCGAGAGAACUCUGGUUAAGGAACUCGGCAAAAUGACCCCGUAACUUCGGGAGAAGGGGUGCUUUCUUAACGGAAAGCCGCAGUGAAUAGGCCCAAGCGACUGUUUAGCAAAAACACAGCUCUCUGCGAAGCCGUAAGGCGAAGUAUAGGGGGUGACACCUGCCCGGUGCUGGAAGGUUAAGGAGAGGGGUUAGCGUAAGCGAAGCUCUGAACUGAAGCCCCAGUAAACGGCGGCCGUAACUAUAACGGUCCUAAGGUAGCGAAAUUCCUUGUCGGGUAAGUUCCGACCCGCACGAAAGGUGUAACGAUUUGGGCACUGUCUCAACCAGAGACUCGGUGAAAUUAUAGUACCUGUGAAGAUGCAGGUUACCCGCGACAGGACGGAAAGACCCCGUGGAGCUUUACUGUAGCCUGAUAUUGAAUUUUGGUACAGUUUGUACAGGAUAGGCGGGAGCCUUUGAAACCGGAGCGCUAGCUUCGGUGGAGGCGCUGGUGGGAUACCGCCCUGACUGUAUUGAAAUUCUAACCUACGGGUCUUAUCGACCCGGGAGACAGUGUCAGGUGGGCAGUUUGACUGGGGCGGUCGCCUCCUAAAGUGUAACGGAGGCGCCCAAAGGUUCCCUCAGAAUGGUUGGAAAUCAUUCGUAGAGUGCAAAGGCAUAAGGGAGCUUGACUGCGAGACCUACAAGUCGAGCAGGGACGAAAGUCGGGCUUAGUGAUCCGGUGGUUCCGCAUGGAAGGGCCAUCGCUCAACGGAUAAAAGCUACCCCGGGGAUAACAGGCUUAUCUCCCCCAAGAGUCCACAUCGACGGGGAGGUUUGGCACCUCGAUGUCGGCUCAUCGCAUCCUGGGGCUGUAGUCGGUCCCAAGGGUUGGGCUGUUCGCCCAUUAAAGCGGUACGCGAGCUGGGUUCAGAACGUCGUGAGACAGUUCGGUCCCUAUCCGUCGUGGGCGUAGGAAAUUUGAGAGGAGCUGUCCUUAGUACGAGAGGACCGGGAUGGACGCACCGCUGGUGUACCAGUUGUUCUGCCAAGGGCAUAGCUGGGUAGCUAUGUGCGGAAGGGAUAAGUGCUGAAAGCAUCUAAGCAUGAAGCCCCCCUCAAGAUGAGAUUUCCCAUAGCGUAAGCUAGUAAGAUCCCUGAAAGAUGAUCAGGUUGAUAGGUUCGAGGUGGAAGCAUGGUGACAUGUGGAGCUGACGAAUACUAAUAGAUCGAGGACUUAACCAU